RNAcentral lists this ribosomal RNA (777 nucleotides) under uncultured bacterium. RNAcentral describes it as "bacterial SSU rRNA". It matches the Rfam family "Bacterial small subunit ribosomal RNA", at positions 10 to 829 of the family's 1533-position model. The record is from RNAcentral.
AGUUUGAUCAUGGCUCAGGAUGAACGCUGGCGGUAUGCUUAACACAUGCAAGUCGAACGGAUGUUUUCGGACAUUAGUGGCGGACGGGUGAGUAACGCGUGAGAAUCUAGCUUCAGGUUGGGGACAACAGUUGGAAACGACUGCUAAUACCGAAUAUGCCGAGAGGUGAAAGAUUAAUUGCCUGAAGAAGAGCUCGCGUCUGAUUAGCUAGUUGGUGGGGUAAGAGCUUACCAAGGCGACGAUCGGUAGCUGGUCUGAGAGGACGAUCAGCCACACUGGGACUGAGACACGGCCCAGACUCCUACGGGAGGCAGCAGUGGGGAAUUUUCCGCAAUGGGCGAAAGCCUGACGGAGCAAUACCGCGUGAGGGAAGAAGGCUCUUGGGUUGUAAACCUCUUUUCUUAGGGAAGAAAAAAAUGACGGUACCUAAGGAAUAAGCAUCGGCUAACUCCGUGCCAGCAGCCGCGGUAAUACGGAGGAUGCAAGCGUUAUCCGGAAUGAUUGGGCGUAAAGCGUCCGCAGGUGGUUUAUCAAGUUUGCGGUUAAAGGUUCUGGCUCAACCAGAGACAGGCCGUGAAAACUGAUAGACUAGAGUAUGGUAGGGGCAGAGGGAAUUCCCAGUGUAGCGGUGAAAUGCGUAGAGAUUGGGAAGAACACCGGUGGCGAAAGCGCUCUGCUAGGCCAAAACUGACACUGAGGGACGAAAGCUAGGGGAGCGAAUGGGAUUAGAUACCCCAGUAGUCCUAGCCGUAAACGAUGGAUACUAGGUGUAGCUUG